This is a ribosomal RNA of Capra hircus (goat), 112 nucleotides long. The record is from Ensembl. NCBI's taxonomy places the organism in Eukaryota, Metazoa, Chordata, Mammalia, Artiodactyla, Bovidae.
GUCUAUAGCCAUACCAUCCUGAACACACCCUACCUCCUCUGAUCUCUGAUACUAAGCAGGGUCAGGCCUGGUUAGUCUUUGGAUGGGAGAAGGUGGAUAAGUUCUGAGGAUC